Molecule: ribosomal RNA, 1244 nt
Filed under: Pseudomonas guariconensis
Lineage: Bacteria; Pseudomonadati; Pseudomonadota; Gammaproteobacteria; Pseudomonadales; Pseudomonadaceae
Description: bacterial SSU rRNA
Rfam family: Bacterial small subunit ribosomal RNA
Source: RNAcentral
UGUGGGACAACGUUCCGAAAGGGGCGCUAAUACCGCAUACGUCCUACGGGAGAAAGUGGGGGAUCUUCGGACCUCACGCUAUCAGAUGAGCCUAGGUCGGAUUAGCUAGUUGGUGAGGUAAUGGCUCACCAAGGCGACGAUCCGUAACUGGUCUGAGAGGAUGAUCAGUCACACUGGAACUGAGACACGGUCCAGACUCCUACGGGAGGCAGCAGUGGGGAAUAUUGGACAAUGGGCGAAAGCCUGAUCCAGCCAUGCCGCGUGUGUGAAGAAGGUCUUCGGAUUGUAAAGCACUUUAAGUUGGGAGGAAGGGCAGUAAGUUAAUACCUUGCUGUUUUGACGUUACCGACAGAAUAAGCACCGGCUAACUCUGUGCCAGCAGCCGCGGUAAUACAGAGGGUGCAAGCGUUAAUCGGAAUUACUGGGCGUAAAGCGCGCGUAGGUGGUUCGUUAAGUUGGAUGUGAAAGCCCCAGGUUCACCUUGGGAACUGCAUCCAAAACUGGCGAGCUAGAGUAUGGUAGAGGGUGGUGGAAUUUCCUGUGUAGCGGUGAAAUGCGUAGAUAUAGGAAGGAACACCAGUGGCGAAGGCGACCACCUGGACUGAUACUGACACUGAGGUGCGAAAGCGUGGGGAGCAAACAGAUUAGAUACCCUGGUAGUCCACGCCGUAACGAUGUCAACUAGCCGUUGGAAUCCUUGAGAUUUUAGUGGCGCAGCUAACGCAUUAAGUUGACCGCCUGGGGAGUACGGCCGCAAGGUUAAAACUCAAUGAAUUGACGGGGGCCCGCACAAGCGGUGGAGCAUGUGGUUAAUUCGAAGCAACGCGAAGACCUUACCAGGCCUGACAUGCAGAGAACUUUCAGAGAUGGAUUGGUGCCUUCGGGAACUCUGACACAGGUGCUGCAUGGCUGUCGUCAGCUCGUGUCGUGAGAUGUUGGGUUAAGUCCCGUAACGAGCGCAACCCUUGUCCUUAGUUACCAGCACGUUAUGGUGGGCACUCUAAGGAGACUGCCGGUGACAAACCGGAGGAAGGUGGGGAUGACGUCAAGUCAUCAUGGCCCUUACGGCCUGGGCUACACACGUGCUACAAUGGUCGGUACAGAGGGUUGCCAAGCCGCGAGGUGGAGCUAAUCUCACAAAACCGAUCGUAGUCCGGAUCGCAGUCUGCAACUCGACUGCGUGAAGUCGGAAUCGCUAGUAAUCGCGAAUCAGAAUGUCGCGGUGAAUACGUUCCCGGGCCUUG